CAGUCGCCACGGGAAUACGAAGGGGGCUAGCGUUGCUCGGAAUUACUGGGCGUAAAGGGAGCGUAGGCGGACAUUUAAGUCAGGGGUGAAAUCCCAGAGCUCAACUCUGGAACUGCCUUUGAUACUGGGUGUCUUGAGUGUGAUAGAGGUAUGUGGAACUCCGAGUGUAGAGGUGAAAUUCGUAGAUAUUCGGAAGAACACCAGUGGCGAAGGCGACAUACUGGAUCAUUACUGACGCUGAGGCUCGAAAGCGUGGGGAGCAAACAGGAUUAGAUACCCGGGUAGUCCCUGUCUCUUAUAU
RNAcentral lists this ribosomal RNA (301 nucleotides) under uncultured bacterium. Its description in RNAcentral is "partial 16S ribosomal RNA". It matches the Rfam family "Bacterial small subunit ribosomal RNA", at positions 509 to 809 of the family's 1533-position model. The record is from RNAcentral.